UACGUAGGGGGCAAGCGUUGUCCGGAUUCAUUGGGCGUAAAGAGCGUGUAGGCGGCCAGGUAGGUCGGUUGUGAAAACUGGAGGCUCAACCUUCAGAGGUCGACCGAAACCAUCUGGCUAGAGUCCGGGAGAGGAGAAUGGAAUUCCCGGUGUAGCGGUGAAAUGCGCAGAUAUCGGGAGGAACACCGGUGGCGAAGGCGGUUCUCUGGGCCUUACCUGACGCUGAGGAGCGAAAGCGUGGGGAGCGAACAGG
RNAcentral lists this ribosomal RNA (253 nucleotides) under uncultured bacterium. RNAcentral describes it as "partial 16S ribosomal RNA". It matches the Rfam family "Bacterial small subunit ribosomal RNA", at positions 524 to 776 of the family's 1533-position model. The record is from RNAcentral.